UCCCAGACUCCUACGGGAGGCAGCAGUGAGGAAUAUUGGUCAAUGGGCGCGAGCCUGAACCAGCCAAGUAGCGUGAAGGAUGACUGCCCUACGGGUUGUAAACUUCUUUUAUAAAGGAAUAAAGUGAGGCACGUGUGCCUUUUUGUAUGUAUUUUAUGAAUAAGGAUCGGCUAACUCCGUGCCAGCAGCCGCGGUAAUACGGAGGAUCCGAGCGUUAUCCGGAUUUAUUGGGUUUAAAGGGUGCGCAGGCGGCGAGUUACGUCGGGGGUAAAUUUCGGGGGCCCACCCCCGACAAGCCGUUGAAACUGGCUUGCUAGAGUGGGCGAGAAGUAUGCGGAAUGCGUGGUGUAGCGGUGAAAUGCAUAGAUAUCGCGCAGAACUCCGAUUGCGAAGGCAGCAUGCCGGCUCCACACUGACGCUGAGGCACGAAAGCGUGGGUAUCGAACAGGAUUAGAUACCCGCGUA
This 465-nucleotide ribosomal RNA is filed under the name uncultured bacterium. RNAcentral describes it as "bacterial SSU rRNA". It matches the Rfam family "Bacterial small subunit ribosomal RNA", at positions 329 to 792 of the family's 1533-position model. The record is from RNAcentral.